This 590-nucleotide ribosomal RNA is filed under the name uncultured Bacillus sp. RNAcentral's name for it is "bacterial SSU rRNA". It matches the Rfam family "Bacterial small subunit ribosomal RNA", at positions 11 to 582 of the family's 1533-position model. The record is from RNAcentral. Lineage: Bacteria; Bacillati; Bacillota; Bacilli; Caryophanales; Bacillaceae.
GUUUGAUCCUGGCUCAGGACGAACGCUGGCGGCGUGCCUAAUACAUGCAAGUCGAGCGGACGGAAGGGAGCUUGCUCCCGGAAGUCAGCGGCGGACGGGUGAGUAACACGUGGGUAACCUGCCUGUAAGACUGGGAUAACUCCGGGAAACCGGGGCUAAUACCGGAUAGCUUCUUCCUCCGCAUGGAGGAAGAAUGAAAGGCGGCCUUUGGCUGUCACUUACAGAUGGACCCGCGGCGCAUUAGCUAGUUGGUGGGGUAACGGCCCACCAAGGCGACGAUGCGUAGCCGACCUGAGAGGGUGAUCGGCCACACUGGGACUGAGACACGGCCCAGACUCCUACGGGAGGCAGCAGUAGGGAAUCUUCCGCAAUGGACGAAAGUCUGACGGAGCAACGCCGCGUGAGUGAAGAAGGUUUUCGGAUCGUAAAGCUCUGUUGUCAGGGAAGAACAAGUACCGGAGUCACUGCCGGUACCUUGACGGUACCUGACCAGAAAGCCACGGCUAACUACGUGCCAGCAGCCGCGGGUAAUACGUAGGUGGCAAGCGUUGUCCGGAAUUAUUGGGCGUAAAGCGCGCGCAGGCGGCCUU